Long non-coding RNA from Passer domesticus (house sparrow), 3882 nucleotides. RefSeq lists it as uncharacterized. The record is from RefSeq and is a predicted model, not a curated record. The transcript is spliced from 3 exons. NCBI's taxonomy places the organism in Eukaryota, Metazoa, Chordata, Aves, Passeriformes, Passeridae.
GGGGCAGAGAGGUUGUCAGAGAGGACUUGCACCUUCUCCUUUGAAAGCUGCUACUGGAGUCAUUUAGCCCUCCUCCAAGGGGGAGACAGAUGGAGCGUAGGAAAAAGUGUCCCUCAUGACCCUUCUGCAGCGGGCUUGCAUUCUGCACGCUUUAUGCCACAAAAGGUCCUGUCCUCCUGCUGCUUGGCCCAUUGCUGGAAAGCCCAGGAGCCAGAGCUGGGUGUCCUGUGGGAAUUCUGCUGUUCUGAGAGGAAAUGCACAUUUACUGUCUUUAGCAGCUUCUUUAAUAAGAUUUGCCAGAAGGGAGGAAUUGAUGCAGGGGGUGUAGCUUGGCCUUGUGCAUGGCAGAGCUGUGCAGGCCAUCCGUGGUGUUCUUGCUGUGGAAGUGCAUGUGCUGUGGAAGUGCAUUUUUUGCUCAGUUCCUGUCCCACCCAAAUGAAUUCUGCUUUUCCAUCGUGCUCACAAAGAGCAGAGGCUCCGAAGGGGAUGUGGAGGGCAGUCCCUUGGAUUUCUGGCUGUGUCAGUGGGAUGGCAGGGCAGGGAACUCAGAGCUGCCAGGUUCUCUUGUGCACAUCCUGGGACACAGCCUCUCAGUCUGGGGCGGCUGAUCCCUCCCGAGCCAGAGCAGGAUAAUUCAUCCCCUCAUGCAGCAGCUUAGGGGGAAGCUGGGAGGGAGAUUUUUGUGUUGACAAAGCACUAAUUUUAAUAAUGACAAAUGGCUGCUCUGGAAUUCAGCGCUAUUCAUAUUCAUGACCCUUCUGCUGCUGAAGCAAAAUCAUUUAUAUGCCUGAAAAUCGCGCUUUUUUUAACUUUUGCUCUCUUUCCACUCUGCACAUCUGUUUAUACUUUAAUGCUCUUGACAGGAUAAUCAAAUAUUUUCCAAAUAUAAUGUCUCUAAAGAAAGCAACAAAGUCAGUGUUUGGACAGAAACAUUUUUGUCUUUGCUUGAAGGGGAAGCAAAACCAUUGAAUGGCAUUUUAUUUCCUGUGCCCAUGUUCAUUACUGUGUCUGCUCUCCACUCCAAGUGCUCCCAGGAUGGGAGUGGAAGCUGCUGUCCAUCAGUGGUGGGAAGUGGCCUUGGGACAGCUGUACAGAUGCUGUAGAGCCUCUAUGUUGUUUUAAAAUUCCCUAUUGGAAGAGCAAAAUUGGUUUGUGUUUACCUGGGAAUGCUUUCUGCUUUUCCAUUGUUUAGUUGGCAGGACUAAAUGAAUUCCUUAGUAUUGACAGAACAAUCCUGUGCCUUGUUCCUUUCCUUCUGAGGUUGCUAGGUUUAGUAUUUUUUUUUCUGUUAUCUCUCCAAGUUUUCCUUCUAAAGUAAAGGCUAAAUUAUGAUCACAUUCCACCACAGCCACUGCUCCCCAGGUCAUACACGUUUGUGACACCACAAGGUGCGUGGGGUCCCCAAUGAAGAAAACUGCUUGGGAGGUUCUAACCCAUUAUAUAUAUAUUAGUUAAAGAUCACUUUUUCUUUUUUUCAAAGCCUGCAAGUAGAAAAAAUUGGAUUUUUUUUUUUUUCCUCUCAGCACAUUCGUUGAGAGGCUGUGAAAAAAACCCUGCUGCUUCUGAUGAAUUUGUGCAAUUGGUGUGUAGCUGCGUGCGGGUGGAAGAUCUGAAUGGAUGUUUUAUGGCUGCUCAUUUGUCACACUUAUGUAAGUCAUCAGCAGCACAGCUAAUUGUGGCCAGAGCUGAAUGAAUUCUGCCCGAAUGCGCUGCUGCCACUCACAUCUGUGGGCCCCAGGAAGCCUAUGCAGAAGUCUACAGCAAUUCAAUUCUCUUGUUAUUUCCGUUUUCUAGUGAAAUUCAUGAUACAGGAAUUUGUUUUCUUGCCAUCUGUUUUUUCUCACUGAAAAGACUUCCUUAGACUAUAAACUCUCUCUUGAAAAAAGAAAUAAAUCUACUCAGUUCAGACUUGAGAACAAACCCAAGUUCAAAUUAAGGAAAUAAAGCAGAUUGCAGUGGUUUGGGGUCCUGUUGGUUUAGGCCAAGCUGAACACGAAGUAGAGCUGUGGAGGACAAGGGACAUGCAGGCAAAAAGAAGCCCAAAUGAUGGUGAGUUUGGAUAAGUGCCCAUAAAUUACAGUUUCUCUGCCAUUUCUCCUUAGAGAUGUGGUAAAUGAAGAUGUGCUUCAGCCCAUCAUUCCAAGCACAGUUAGAAUUAGGUCUUUUAUCCUUGACAUGACACUCUGUCAUCUCCAGGUAGAGGAAGGAAGCACAGUCCUCGCAUUCCCUAUGGAACUGGGGAUGCCCAGGACCCUGCACAGCACACCAAGUUACAGAACAAGUGUGAAUCAAUCUCUUUAUUCUGAGCACUCCUAUAGACACUAAGAAAGAGUUUUCACCAGGAUAUUUUGUUCUGAACUGCAAAGAAAUGCCUGGAAAGUUGCUGUAGGUUGGGGAUGCAGGAAGUUUAUAAUUUGUUUUUAUCACAGUUCUACUGUCAUGCUGCUAUCUUAGCAGUUUUCUGACUGCUCUGGGUUAUAGAGUGUUCAUAAAUGAUGAUUAAUUAAUCCAGUUUGGUGGUCUACUCUGAGCAAACAAACCUCAGAGUUAAUUUAAUUCUCCACUCUUGGUUUCAGAGAAAAAAAAAGGCAGCAUUUUCAGUUCACUAGAGGAUAUAAUAUUCUCAAAUCAGCCACUUUCCAAUUAAUUUUGAAUGGCCAACACAGCCAAGAAAUUUAGUUCUUGGUCAUUUACUUCUAUUAAGGAUUCAUUUUCAAUAAUCAGAGUUCUGAGUCAGCUGGUUUUCACCUGGAAGGCUUGCUCCUGACACCUGAAUAAAUUAUUGCAUGGUGUGUGCAUGGAGGUAUCAGGUUCUCUCCCUCUUUCCCCAGUACCCCCUUGCUGACAGGCAGUCAUUUACUGCUAUUUCUGUCAUCACCCAACUUGUUGGGAAGGGAUGCUGUACAAUAUCAAAAUGUGUGGAGUGGAGCAGCAGCUCUCAUAAAGCAGGAAAAUGUCAGAAAGAAGGAAAGGAGAUGUGCUAUCCUUGAAAUGUUUUCCUCAUGCUCUGGGUUUCAAGCUAAUUAGUUUCUAAAUAUGCUGCUGAAGGCUUGAGUUUCCAUGGGAUAAUAUUUCCCUGUAGUAGCUCUGUGCAGCCAUGUGGGAUGAGGGGGAAAAAUAAUGAUUUACCAAGAGGAGAAAAAUAUUCAGGAACAUGAGGAAGGUCAGUGUUGAUUUGUGUGUUUAUGACCAUUAAGAUAAAUACUGGUGUAACUUGUUAAUAAAACUCCUUUUUAAUUUGGUGGAAUGAACCUUUCCCUCUCGUCGGGUUGGAGAGGGACAUGUCUGUCCCUGUGGGCUGCACCCUGAUAACUGCAGCUCCACAAAUAUUUACAUUUUUUAUUGGGAGGUUGCCUGCCUGCUUUUUCCUGUCCCCAGAAUGUGCUGAGAUGCUCAGCCCACAGGGCCCUCAGCAGAACUGCGCUGUGAAUUACUUUUGGGUUGCAGCACAUUUCCUACAAUGCCCAAGGUUAUUUUUUAUUCUUUGUAUAACUAUGCUCAGAGAAACAAAGCAAAUAAAAAGAAAAACAUUACCAACACUCAAGAUGUUCCAUAAUAACAUUCCCAAAUCUCUUGUGGAAGGUAUAAAUUAACCCCUCUUUGCAUUUACUUUUAAUAUGCCAAAGCAAUAAUGUGUGAUUCUCCUCUGUCUCUGUGAUGAGAGAGAGCAGGGAACAAGAACAAAAUCUGCCAAGUGUGGCACAUGCGGGACGUGGAGAAUGCAGAUCUAACAGGCUGGAAAUGAGCAAGAGCCCUUUAGUCACGGGGAGAGUUUAAAAAUGGAAAUGCCUUUAAGUGGCCCUCAGAAUUAAAAGCGUCCCAUGCCACUUCCCAGGGAGUUGGAAUGAUAAUGUGCAUUAUUAUGGGCUGCCUGUAGCUUCU